This 1328-nucleotide ribosomal RNA is filed under the name Listrus senilis. RNAcentral describes it as "SSU rRNA". It matches the Rfam family "Eukaryotic small subunit ribosomal RNA", at positions 32 to 1303 of the family's 1831-position model. The record is from RNAcentral. Lineage: Eukaryota; Metazoa; Arthropoda; Insecta; Coleoptera; Melyridae.
UUGUCUCAAAGAUUAAGCCAUGCAUGUCUCAGUACAAGCCGAAUUAAGGUGAAACCGCGAAAGGCUCAUUAAAUCAGUUAUGGUUCCUUAGAUCGUACCCAAACCUACUUGGAUAACUGUGGUAAUUCUAGAGCUAAUACAUGCAAACAGAGCUCCGACCGGAGACGGAAGGAGUGCUUUUAUUAGAUCAAAACCAAUCGGUGGCGGUCUCGGCCGUCAUCGCCCAACUUGGUGACUCUGAAUAACUUUACGCUGAUCGCACGGUCUCGCACCGGCGACGCAUCUUUCAAAUGUCUGCCUUAUCAACUGUCGAUGGUAGGUUCUGCGCCUACCAUGGUUGUAACGGGUAACGGGGAAUCAGGGUUCGAUUCCGGAGAGGGAGCCUGAGAAACGGCUACCACAUCCAAGGAAGGCAGCAGGCGCGCAAAUUACCCACUCCCGGCACGGGGAGGUAGUGACGAAAAAUAACGAUACGGGACUCAUCCGAGGCCCCGUAAUCGGAAUGAGUACACUCUAAACCCUUUAACGAGGAUCAAUUGGAGGGCAAGUCUGGUGCCAGCAGCCGCGGUAAUUCCAGCUCCAAUAGCGUAUAUUAAAGUUGUUGCGGUUAAAAAGCUCGUAGUCGGAUCUGUGUCUCACGCCGCCGGUUCAUCGUCCGCGGUGUCAACUGGCGUGUCGCGAGACGUAUUGCCGGUGGGCUCAGCCCGCAAGGGCGGCCCAAACAAUCCCGCCGCGGUGCUCUUCACUGAGUGUCGAGGUAGGCCGGCACGUUUACUUUGAACAAAUUAGAGUGCUUAAAGCAGGCUAGAAUUUCGCCUGAAUACUGUGUGCAUGGAAUAAUGGAAUAGGACCUCGGUUCUAUUUUGUUGGUUUUCGGAACUCCGAGGUAAUGAUUAAUAGGAACGGAUGGGGGCAUUCGUAUUGCGACGUUAGAGGUGAAAUUCUUGGACCGUCGCAAGACGAACAGAAGCGAAAGCAUUUGCCAAAAACGUUUUCAUUGAUCAAGAACGAAAGUCAGAGGUUCGAAGGCGAUCAGAUACCGCCCUAGUUCUGACCAUAAACUAUGCCAGCUAGCGAUCCGCCGACGUUCCUCCGAUGACUCGGCGGGCAGCUUCCGGGAAACCAAAGCUAUUGGGUUCCGGGGGAAGUAUGGUUGCAAAGCUGAAACUUAAAGGAAUUGACGGAAGGGCACCACCAGGAGUGGAGCCUGCGGCUUAAUUUGACUCAACACGGGUAACCUCACCAGGCCCGGACACCGGAAGGAUUGACAGAUUGAGAGCUCUUUCUUGAUUCGGUGGGUGGUGGUGCAUGGCCGUUCUUAGUUGGUG